This 479-nucleotide ribosomal RNA is filed under the name uncultured anaerobic ammonium-oxidizing bacterium. RNAcentral describes it as "bacterial SSU rRNA". It matches the Rfam family "Bacterial small subunit ribosomal RNA", at positions 364 to 833 of the family's 1533-position model. The record is from RNAcentral.
UUUCGCAAUGCCCGAAAGGGUGACGAAGCGACGCCGCGUGAGUGAGGAAGGCCUUCGGGUUGUAAAGCUCUGUCAGGAGUUAAGAAAUAUAAGUGUGUUAAUACCACAUUUAUUUGACGAAGGCUCCAAAGGAAGCCACGGCUAACUCUGUGCCGGCAGCCGCGGUAAUACAGAGGUGGCAAGCGUUGUUCGGAAUUAUUGGGCGUAAAGAGCACGUAGGUGGGUUUGUAAGUCAGAUGUGAAAGCCUUCUGUUCAACGGAAGAAUUGCAUCUGAAACUGCGAGUCUUGAGUGUAGGAGGGGAGAAUGGAACUUCUGGUGGAGCGGUGAAAUGCGUAGAUAUCAGAAGGAACGCCGGCGGCGAAAGCGAUUCUCUGGCCUGUUACUGACACUCAGUGUGCGAAAGCUAGGGGAGCAAACGGGAUUAGAUACCCCGGUAGUCCUAGCUGUAAACGAUGGGCACUAAGUAGAGGGGUUUUA